UAAAUCCGGUUCACUUUAACACUGAGGCGUGAUGACGAGGCACUACGGUGCUGAAGCAACAAAUGCCCUGCUUCCAGGAAAAGCCUCUAAGCAUCAGGUAACAUCAAAUCGUACCCCAAACCGACACAGGUGGUCAGGUAGAGAAUACCAAGGCGCUUGAGAGAACUCGGGUGAAGGAACUAGGCAAAAUGGUGCCGUAACUUCGGGAGAAGGCACGCUGACACGUAGGUGAAGUGAUUUACUCAUGGAGCUGAAGUCAGUCGAAGAUACCAGCUGGCUGCAACUGUUUAUUAAAAACACAGCACUGUGCAAACACGAAAGUGGACGUAUACGGUGUGACGCCUGCCCGGUGCCGGAAGGUUAAUUGAUGGGGUCAGCGCAAGCGAAGCUCCUGAUCGAAGCCCCGGUAAACGGCGGCCGUAACUAUAACGGUCCUAAGGUAGCGAAAUUCCUUGUCGGGUAAGUUCCGACCUGCACGAAUGGCGUAAUGAUGGCCAGGCUGUCUCCACCCGAGACUCAGUGAAAUUGAACUCGCUGUGAAGAUGCAGUGUACCCGCGGCAAGACGGAAAGACCCCGUGAACCUUUACUAUAGCUUGACACUGAACAUUGAGCCUUGAUGUGUAGGAUAGGUGGGAGGCUUUGAAGUGUGGACGCCAGUCUGCAUGGAGCCGGCCUUGAAAUACCACCCUUUAAUGUUUGAUGUUCUAACGUGGACCCGUGAUCCGGGUUGCGGACAGUGUCUGGUGGGUAGUUUGACUGGGGCGGUCUCCUCCUAAAGAGUAACGGAGGAGCACGAAGGUUGGCUAAUCCUGGUCGGACAUCAGGAGGUUAGUGCAAUGGCAUAAGCCAGCUUGACUGCGAGCGUGACGGCGCGAGCAGGUGCGAAAGCAGGUCAUAGUGAUCCGGUGGUUCUGAAUGGAAGGGCCAUCGCUCAACGGAUAAAAGGUACUCCGGGGAUAACAGGCUGAUACCGCCCAAGAGUUCAUAUCGACGGCGGUGUUUGGCACCUCGAUGUCGGCUCAUCACAUCCUGGGGCUGAAGUAGGUCCCAAGGGUAUGGCUGUUCGCCAUUUAAAGUGGUACGCGAGCUGGGUUUAGAACGUCGUGAGACAGUUCGGUCCCUAUCUGCCGUGGGCGCUGGAGAACUGAGGGGGGCUGCUCCUAGUACGAGAGGACCGGAGUGGACGCAUCACUGGUGUUCGGGUUGUCAUGCCAAUGGCACUGCCCGGUAGCUAAAUGCGGAAGAGAUAAGUGCUGAAAGCAUCUAAGCACGAAACUUGCCCCGAGAUGAGUUCUCCCUGAGACUUUAGGUCUCCUGAAGGAACGUUGAAGACGACGACGUUGAUAGGCCGGGUGUGUAAGCGCAGCGAUGCGUUGAGCUAACCGGUACUAAUGAACCGUGAGGCUUAACCUUACA
Molecule: ribosomal RNA, 1417 nt
Filed under: Salmonella enterica
Lineage: Bacteria; Pseudomonadati; Pseudomonadota; Gammaproteobacteria; Enterobacterales; Enterobacteriaceae
Description: partial 23S ribosomal RNA
Rfam family: Bacterial large subunit ribosomal RNA
Source: RNAcentral